Phacochoerus africanus (Common warthog) is the source of this 1199-nucleotide long non-coding RNA. RefSeq lists it as uncharacterized. The transcript is spliced from 3 exons. Lineage: Eukaryota; Metazoa; Chordata; Mammalia; Artiodactyla; Suidae. The record is from RefSeq and is a predicted model, not a curated record.
GCUGGGGAGACAGCUGAGGACAAGAAGGAUGACAAGUUCUCCCGCCAGCCAGCGCUGGGGAAGCCCGGGGCUUUGGAGCAAGGGCGCAGGAUUGAGAGGGAACGCCUGCCAGGGGGAAAAGGCUGUGCUUCCUCUGGGGCCAGGGAGCGGGAGGGAGGCGGUCCUUCACCCUUGAACGUGAGCAGCAUCCCCCCACUCCUUGCUCUCCUGUGACAGGGAGCCAGACACCCACGGCACCUCUGGGGAUCCUGACGCCUCAGGGGGCGUCUCCUCUCUCCCUGACCACGUUCGUGGCAAACGCUGGCCAGACACUGCUAGUGAACUGAGCUUCGAGGAAGAACCCGGACCCAGCGUACCCUGGGGUUAUGUCCAGGUCCCAGAUGAGAAAACGGACAUACACUGAGGUUCGGUACCUCACGCAAGAUCACAUAGUUAACACGUGGAAGGGGACUUCAAGAUCCUCCCGCUACCCUAGGCUCCCAGCACUAUAGGAAAGGGCACCGCAGUGGCCCCGGUGGUGGGUCACAGCCUUUAUCCACCUGCCCAGAGAUGAAGGGCGCACCACCUCUCAAGGCUGUUGGCUCCAAGCUUGGUCAAUUCUCAAAGCCGGCUGUUCGGAGUUCUAUUAAGCCAAAAGCUGGGUCCCUGCAGGCUUGGGGCUCCCCCGAGGCAUGCUGCUUCUGCCCUCUGCAUCCCCUCAGACAGCAUCUAAUUCCUUUCCCCGAGGAUUGUUUCAGAGCAGGACCAAGACCCUGUCCUUAUUUUUCUAAUUUCUCUAAGCAACGCGGCCUCUGUCUGACAGCUGCCCCCCGCAGUCAGCUGGGCAGCUCCCCCAUCAUCACCAACACCCUUCCCCGAAUACCCUCCAACCUGCUGAUGUCUCUGGUGGGUCCAGAUGUGGACAUGGGGUCACCCAGGCCUCCCAUCUCCCUACGGCACAAAACGGAGUGCUCUUUAAAAUGUUAUUUCAAUACAGUUCAUUUACCAUUAUAGUGAUACAGUCUCGCUGUAGGAAACGUAAAAAAAAUGCCAUGAGCAGAGCAAAACUGCUUCCCCAAAGAGGGAAAUCACCCUUGCUCUACUUCCAGCCUUUCUGGCUUCAUUUGUUCCAGAUCUACACUUGUGCCCCAUGUUUUCACUUACCCUUAGAGCCUAAGCAGGUGGCUAUUACUAGAAAGUCUCUGGGAGUUCCCACUGUG